AGAAGCUGUAUUCGGCCAUGGUUGAAAGAAAAGGAAUGAAAUCCGAAUUCUAACUUUCACUAAAUUGUCAACAACCCCAAAUCCCAAAAAUCCCUCUUCCAAUUCGGCUACACACUCUCCAUCAACUUCCUAUCCCUUAAUUUUCUACUAUUAUCUUUCCACAACAACAACCUCCCAAAAUCCCAAUAUUCUCUCCUCAAAUCUCUCUAUGACUAGUUCAAACUCCAUUUAGCAGUAUUUCAAUCCAACUCUACCACCCAUACGAAUACGAAUUAGGCAGCAAAAUAAAUACUCCCCUUUUGAUGUGCCACCACUUGAACCUUAGACCCCAUGUACACUCCUCACGCC
Molecule: long non-coding RNA, 348 nt
Filed under: Gossypium raimondii (Peruvian cotton)
Lineage: Eukaryota; Viridiplantae; Streptophyta; Magnoliopsida; Malvales; Malvaceae
Description: long non-coding RNA (GRAI_LNC000287)
Source: RNAcentral